Molecule: ribosomal RNA, 406 nt
Filed under: uncultured bacterium
Lineage: Bacteria
Description: partial 16S ribosomal RNA
Rfam family: Bacterial small subunit ribosomal RNA
Source: RNAcentral
AUUGAACGCUGGCGGCAGGCCUAACACAUGCAAGUCGAACGAGUGGCGGACGGGUGAGUUAUGUCUUGGAAACUGCCUGAUGGAGGGGGAUAACUACUUGAAACGGUAGCUAAUACCGCAUACCAUUGGAUGUGCCCAGAUGGGAUUAGCGAGUGGGUGGGGUAAAGGCUCACCUAGCCGACGAUCCCUAGCUGGUCUGAGAGGAUGAACAGCCACACUGUAACUGAGACACGGUCCAGACUCCUACGGGAGGCGGCGGUGGGGAGUAUUGCACUAUGGGCGGAAGGCUGGUGCAGCCAUGCCACGUGUAUGAAGAAGGCCUUCGGGUUGUAAAGUAAUUUCAGCGGGAGAGCGGUACCCGCAGAAGAAGGACCGGCUAACUCCGUGCCAGCAGCCGCGGUAAUAC